This 382-nucleotide unclassified non-coding RNA is filed under the name Hevea brasiliensis (rubber tree). The record is from RNAcentral. Lineage: Eukaryota; Viridiplantae; Streptophyta; Magnoliopsida; Malpighiales; Euphorbiaceae.
UAAGCCUGCUCAAGACGGGUCAAUAUGGACCUAAGGGUCUGCACUGGACGGUUUUCAGACAAAAACCCAGCCAUUCUCCACACUCCUAAAAAGAAUUCUCUAUCAAGGUCAGCUUCUGUGAACCCAUAAAGUGCUGGGUCUAAAUCCUCUGGAAUUUCUCUUUCCUCCAACCCCAAUGGGUCCAACUUGGCUUUCAUAUGGCCAUUAACUUGGUAGGCCCUCACAAACAACAGUAAGCGCAUACUCUCCUGAAUCGUCUGGCCUGAAAUACCAGGGGAUGUGGCAGCCUGACCCACAAAAUUCCUAAAGAAAUUGUCCCAUGACUCAUCCACACUACUUGGGUCAGCUUCCCAAGCUCGUUGUAGCUCCUCCAAAUAAACAC